RNAcentral lists this ribosomal RNA (1106 nucleotides) under Aliquandostipite crystallinus. RNAcentral's name for it is "SSU rRNA". It matches the Rfam family "Eukaryotic small subunit ribosomal RNA", at positions 34 to 1148 of the family's 1831-position model. Lineage: Eukaryota; Fungi; Ascomycota; Dothideomycetes; Jahnulales; Aliquandostipitaceae. The record is from RNAcentral.
GUCUCAAAGAUUAAGCCAUGCAUGUCUAAGUAUAAGCAAUCUAUACGGUGAAACUGCGAAUGGCUCAUUAAAUCAGUUAUCGUUUAUUUGAUAGUACCUUACUACACGGAUAUCUGUGGUAAUUCUAGAGUUAAUACGUGCUAAAAACCCCGACUCCGGGAGGGGUGUAUUUAUUAGACUAAAAACCAAUGCCCUUCGGGGCUCCUUGGUGAUUCAUAAUAACUCAACGAAUCGCAUGGCCUUGCGCCGGCGAUGGUUCAUUCAAAUUUCUGCCCUAUCAACUUUCGAUGCUAGGGUAGUGGCCUAGCAUGGUUACAACGGGUAACGGGGGAUUAGGGUUCUAUUCCGGAGAGGGAGCCUGAGAAACGGCUACCACAUCCAAGGAAGGCAGCAGGCGCGCAAAUUACCCAAUCCCGACACGGGGAGGUAGUGACAAUAAAUACUGAUACAGGGCUCUUUUGGGUCUUGUAAUUGGAAUGAGUACGAUUUAAACACCCUAACGAGGAACAAUUGGAGGGCAAGUCUGGUGCCAGCAGCCGCGGUAAUUCCAGCUCCAAUAGCGUAUAUUAAAGUUGUUGCAGUUAAAACGCUCGUCGUUGAACCUUGGGCCUGGGCGACCGGUCUCCCUCACCGGAUGCACUGGUUCGGCCGGGCCUUUCCUUCUGGGGAAUCGCAUGCCCUUCGCUGGGCGUGUCGAGGAUCCAGGACUUUUACUUUGAAAAAAUUAGAGUGUUCAAAGCAGGCCUUUGCUCGAAUACCUUAGCAUGGAAUAAUAGAAUAGGACGUGCGGUCCUAUUUUGUUGGUUUCUAGGACCGCCGUAAUGAUUAAUAGGGUCAGUUGGGGGCAUCAGUAUUCAAUUGUCAGAGGUGAAAUUCUUAGAUUUAUUGAAGACUAACUACUGCGAAAGCAUUUGCCAAAGAUGUUUUCAUUAAUCAGUGAACGAAAGUUAGGGGAUCGAAGACGAUCAGAUACCGUCGUAGUCCUAACCAUAAACUAUGCCGACUAGGGAUCGGGCGAUGUUAUCAUUUUGACUCGCUCGGCACCUUACGAGAAAUCAAAGUGUUUGGGUUCUGGGGGGAGUAUGGUCGCAAGGCUGAAACUUAAA